GAUGCUAGAAUCAAGGGUAAGAGCACAUCUCUAGGAGUUGGCAGGGGUAGAUCUGUUGCAAUGCGAGCUAAAGCGCAAGCUGCUGGGCGUGCAGCACCUGGGAGAGGUGCUGUGCCUGCUGUUAGGAGGUGAUGCCUUACCAUGAUUUGAUCUAGAGCUUCUUUCUCUCAUUUCGCCUGCCUGCUUAAAUUAGGGUCCCUGCUCUUAAUAUCCCUCGAAUUUGGUGUAAUUUUUGUAAUGGGGAGAGAUGGAAUCGUAAUGCCUGGUCUGUAGAUGACUGCUCUAUGCUUGUACGCAUGUAUUUCAAUUUGAAUAUCAUAUAGUUUCUACUCCUGUGCCAAAAAUUUGUGUGGCAAUAAGCAUUCUUUUCGUUGACACCCU
Molecule: unclassified non-coding RNA, 381 nt
Filed under: Hevea brasiliensis (rubber tree)
Lineage: Eukaryota; Viridiplantae; Streptophyta; Magnoliopsida; Malpighiales; Euphorbiaceae
Source: RNAcentral